GUGUACCCGCGGCAAGACGGAAAGACCCCGUGAACCUUUACUAUAGCUUGACACUGAACAUUGAGCCUUGAUGUGUAGGAUAGGUGGGAGGCUUUGAAGUGUGGACGCCAGUCUGCAUGGAGCCGACCUUGAAAUACCACCCUUUAAUGUUUGAUGUUCUAACGUUGACCCGUAAUCCGGGUUGCGGACAGUGUCUGGUGGGUAGUUUGACUGGGGCGGUCUCCUCCUAAAGAGUAACGGAGGAGCACGAAGGUUGGCUAAUCCUGGUCGGACAUCAGGAGGUUAGUGCAAUGGCAUAAGCCAGCUUGACUGCGAGCGUGACGGCGCGAGCAGGUGCGAAAGCAGGUCAUAGUGAUCCGGUGGUUCUGAAUGGAAGGGCCAUCGCUCAACGGAUAAAAGGUACUCCGGGGAUAACAGGCUGAUACCGCCCAAGAGUUCAUAUCGACGGCGGUGUUUGGCACCUCGAUGUCGGCUCAUCACAUCCUGGGGCUGAAGUAGGUCCCAAGGGUAUGGCUGUUCGCCAUUUAAAGUGGUACGCGAGCUGGGUUUAGAACGUCGUGAGACAGUUCGGUCCCUAUCUGCCGUGGGCGCUGGAGAACUGAGGGGGGCUGCUCCUAGUACGAGAGGACCGGAGUGGACGCAUCACUGGUGUUCGGGUUGUCAUGCCAAUGGCACUGCCCGGUAGCUAAAUGCGGAAGAGAUAAGUGCUGAAAGCAUCUAAGCACGAAACUUGCC
RNAcentral lists this ribosomal RNA (735 nucleotides) under Escherichia coli. RNAcentral describes it as "partial 23S ribosomal RNA". It matches the Rfam family "Bacterial large subunit ribosomal RNA", at positions 2064 to 2798 of the family's 2925-position model. The record is from RNAcentral. Lineage: Bacteria; Pseudomonadati; Pseudomonadota; Gammaproteobacteria; Enterobacterales; Enterobacteriaceae.